This is a long non-coding RNA of Gasterosteus aculeatus aculeatus (three-spined stickleback), 380 nucleotides long. Lineage: Eukaryota; Metazoa; Chordata; Actinopteri; Perciformes; Gasterosteidae. The record is from Ensembl.
AGCUAAAAAUUUUGCUUCAAACGACGGGACAUAAGAUAACUCGAUCAACUACUCACAUUCAAAGACAAAUUGCUUUGGAAAUGUUUGGAACCUCAAGAAUAGAUUUCGCUUUGGACAAACAGAAUAAAUAUUAGCAAGAGGGAGGGAGGGGGCUUCUCACCCCUCAUUCGCUAACAUUACAUUGAUAUCAGAGGAAGCCUUUGAUUUCUCCGAUUUUUUAAUGUGAAGGUAAGUUCCCGAGAAAUAGACACUGUACUAUCCGAUAACACCGUUAUUGUAACCAGCAAAAAUGGUUGAUGUGAUUUGCGAGGCGUCUGUCAGCCAACUGUCUGACAUUAGCACGUUAGCCUACGUUAGAAAGACUGGCGUUCUUGCAGCGU